CUGUUUAGGUGUCAAUAAAUUUCAAAUCAAGAAUAAUUUAGUUAUUUUAGUUUAGUGGAGCAUUACUAAUUAGCUACGUGCCUUUUACUCCUACAGCCACCUAUCUCUUCCCUGCAAUUGAACAGCGAACUCAUCCCUUUCACUCCCAACCCUAACAAAACCAAUAUAUUUUUGGGUCUAUUCCUGGGUGGAAGCAAAGCAAGAAAACUAAAAAAGUCACCAAUCAAAGUUCGAUUUUCAAUGAAAAUGACGAUUUGAAAGCAGAAAAUUUCAACACCGAGAACGGAACUUUUCAGAGGGAAUGAUAGUUUCUUUUGAGAAAGGUAAAUCAGUGGUAAGUAUUUUUUAUGGGAUGAUUUGAGCGAAUAUGUUAAGAUAUUAAAUACCUAAUAGUUGAAAAACAUACGCUAAAUCUUUUUUCUUUAUGACUUGCUAUACAUAGCUUGAAAGAGAAGCAGUUCUUGUAUUAUAUUGUUGCUAAUGGGCUAAAUAGAUGUCGACAAGUAUUGACAAAAGCAAAUGAUUAGUUCCCUGCAUCUCACGCUCCAUGAAUAGUCGGGAUACUGAGAAAUAUCCAAAAAGUUAUUUCGGGAAUCUGCUUUUUGUAGCUUGCUGAGCCUUUUUUGGUCCUAUAAAAUAGAACAAUACCGAGCAUAACUGCAUUUCUGUGAUGGCACAAUCAUAUAAUCAAAUUGACGGCUUCCAUUCAACAGGAUGAUAAAAGAAGAAUGUUUGGCUUCCAUUCGUGUAAGAAUGUUAUAUCUGUCAUCAUCAUUCAUCACGAUUGUUAGGGCAGCAGUGCUUAAGCAUAUCUUUUAUAUUAUUAUUAUUAUUAU
Lycium ferocissimum is the source of this 836-nucleotide long non-coding RNA. RefSeq lists it as uncharacterized. The record is from RefSeq and is a predicted model, not a curated record. Lineage: Eukaryota; Viridiplantae; Streptophyta; Magnoliopsida; Solanales; Solanaceae. The transcript has 3 exons.